RNAcentral lists this ribosomal RNA (695 nucleotides) under uncultured Pseudomonadaceae bacterium. Its description in RNAcentral is "SSU rRNA". It matches the Rfam family "Bacterial small subunit ribosomal RNA", at positions 84 to 775 of the family's 1533-position model. The record is from RNAcentral. Lineage: Bacteria; Pseudomonadati; Pseudomonadota; Gammaproteobacteria; Pseudomonadales; Pseudomonadaceae.
UCCUGGAUUCAGCGGCGGACGGGUGAGUAAUGCCUAGGAAUCUGCCUGGUAGUGGGGGAUAACGUCCGGAAACGGGCGCUAAUACCGCAUACGUCCUGAGGGAGAAAGUGGGGGAUCUUCGGACCUCACGCUAUCAGAUGAGCCUAGGUCGGAUUAGCUAGUUGGUGGGGUAAAGGCCUACCAAGGCGACGAUCCGUAACUGGUCUGAGAGGAUGAUCAGUCACACUGGAACUGAGACACGGUCCAGACUCCUACGGGAGGCAGCAGUGGGGAAUAUUGGACAAUGGGCGAAAGCCUGAUCCAGCCAUGCCGCGUGUGUGAAGAAGGUCUUCGGAUUGUAAAGCACUUUAAGUUGGGAGGAAGGGCAGUAAGUUAAUACCUUGCUGUUUUGACGUUACCAACAGAAUAAGCACCGGCUAACUUCGUGCCAGCAGCCGCGGUAAUACGAAGGGUGCAAGCGUUAAUCGGAAUUACUGGGCGUAAAGCGCGCGUAGGUGGUUCAGCAAGUUGGAUGUGAAAUCCCCGGGCUCAACCUGGGAACUGCAUCCAAAACUACUGAGCUAGAGUACGGUAGAGGGUGGUGGAAUUUCCUGUGUAGCGGUGAAGUGCGUAGAUAUAGGAAGGAACACCAGUGGCGAAGGCGACCACCUGGACUGAUACUGACACUGAGGUGCGAAAGCGUGGGGAGCAAACAG